RNAcentral lists this ribosomal RNA (242 nucleotides) under uncultured bacterium. Its description in RNAcentral is "partial 16S ribosomal RNA". It matches the Rfam family "Bacterial small subunit ribosomal RNA", at positions 524 to 765 of the family's 1533-position model. The record is from RNAcentral.
UACAGAGGGGGCAAGCGUUAUUCGGAAUUAUUGGGCGUAAAGGGCGCGUAGGCGGCUUGGCAAGUGGAUGGUGAAAUCCCUCGGCUUAACCGAGGAACUGCCGUCCAAACUGCUUAGCUUGAGACCGGGAGAGGUGAGUGGAAUUCCCAGUGUAGCGGUGAAAUGCGUAGAUAUUGGGAGGAACACCAGUGGCGAAGGCGGCUCACUGGACCGGUACUGACGCUGAGGCGCGAAAGCGUGGG